RNAcentral lists this ribosomal RNA (445 nucleotides) under uncultured bacterium. Its description in RNAcentral is "partial 16S ribosomal RNA". It matches the Rfam family "Bacterial small subunit ribosomal RNA", at positions 354 to 796 of the family's 1533-position model. The record is from RNAcentral.
GUAGGGAAUAUUGGGCAAUGGAAGGAAUUCUGACCCAGCCAUGCCGCGUGCAGGAAUACAGUCCUAUGGACUUUAAACUGCUUUUAUUAUAGAGUAACCUGGGGGACGUGUCCCCCACUGCAAGUAUAUAAUGAAUAAGCAUCGGCUAACUCCGUUCCAGCAGCCGCGGUAAUACGGGGGAUGCAAGCGUUAUCCGGAUUUAUUGGGUUUAAAGGGUGCGCAGGCUGAUCGGUAAGUCAUGGGUGAAAAGUCACUGCUUAACAGUGAUCGUGCCUAUGAUACUGCCGGACUAGAGUUUAAGAGGUGUAACUGGAAUGUGAUGUGUAGCGGUGAAAUGCUUAGAUAUGUCACAGAACGCCAAUCGUGAAGACAGGUUACAAACUUAAUACUGACGCUCAUGCACGAAAGCGUGGGGAUCAAACAGGAUUAGAAACCCCGGUAGUCC